Molecule: ribosomal RNA, 433 nt
Filed under: Leucon acutirostris
Lineage: Eukaryota; Metazoa; Arthropoda; Malacostraca; Cumacea; Leuconidae
Description: partial large subunit ribosomal RNA
Source: RNAcentral
GCUUUUGCGCCUAAAUGUAACCCUAAUUCAACAUCGAGGUCGUAAUCUCUUCUUUCAAUCAGGGCUCUAAGAAGAAUUACGCUGUUACCCCUAAAGUAAUUUAAUUUUAUUUCUUUAACGGGUAUUUAAUUUCAUAUAUUUAUGUAAUUAUAAAAAUAGUUAUUUUAUUUUAGCCGUCCCAGCGAAACUUCUACGGUGCACUAUCUAUUAACAUUUAAAGAAGUGAAAUUUUAUAGGGUCUUAUCGCCCGACAAAAGCAUUUAGGGGUUUUAACCUAAAGUUAAUUUAUUUUUUGUGCCCGGAAUAGCAUAUCCCGCGUCGUUCCUUUCAUUCGAGUCCCCAAUUAAAAGACAAGAUAUUGUGCUACCUUAGUACAGUUGGAGUACUGCAGCUCUUUAUAAGACAGUGAGCAGGGGCGACUUUUUAUAGGUCA